GACGAGCCACCCGAACGUUAUUCGGAAUCAUUGGGUUUAAAGGGUCCGUAGGCGGUUUAGUAAGUCAGUGGUGAAAGCCCAUCGCUCAACGGUGGAACGGCCAUUGAUACUGCUAGACUUGAAUUAUUAGGAAGUAACUAGAAUAUGUAGUGUAGCGGUGAAAUGCUUAGAGAUUACAUGGAAUACCAAUUGCGAAGGCAGGUUACUACUAAUGUAUUGACGCUGAUGGACGAAAGCGUGGGGAGCGAACAGG
Molecule: ribosomal RNA, 253 nt
Filed under: uncultured bacterium
Lineage: Bacteria
Description: partial 16S ribosomal RNA
Rfam family: Bacterial small subunit ribosomal RNA
Source: RNAcentral